This 22-nucleotide ribosomal RNA is filed under the name Cyprinus carpio (common carp). RNAcentral describes it as "partial 5.8S ribosomal RNA". The record is from RNAcentral. Lineage: Eukaryota; Metazoa; Chordata; Actinopteri; Cypriniformes; Cyprinidae.
CAACUCUUAGCGUGGGAUUACU